ACAGGUGAGGGCCUUGGGAAC
RNAcentral lists this microRNA (21 nucleotides) under Ophiophagus hannah (king cobra). RNAcentral describes it as "oha-miR-125a-3p". Its record names the gene oha-miR-125a-3p. The record is from miRBase by way of RNAcentral. Lineage: Eukaryota; Metazoa; Chordata; Lepidosauria; Squamata; Elapidae.